Molecule: non-coding RNA, 680 nt
Organism: Pelobates cultripes (western spadefoot toad)
Lineage: Eukaryota; Metazoa; Chordata; Amphibia; Anura; Pelobatidae
Source: the annotation of a GenBank genome assembly
CCCUCAAAGCAAACUAUUUUUAUUUUUUGCCUACAUUUGUUUUGUAAUGCAAAUUAAUACAAACUGAUAUUAAGUUCAUAAACCCCCACUUACCUUUUCUCUUUGCUGAAAUGUUUUUUUUUGCCCUAUGUAUUAUCUUUAUUACAGUGCCAACAGCAGUCCUCUUGUGGCAUUCAGCACUGCCCCUUGGGAAAUCAUCAAUUGUGUUGCUGUCGUUUCAAUCCAAUGCUUCACAUAGAGAAGUAUUGUGGAUCUAAGGUACAUGUGCAGCAUUCACCACGAUCCAGCAUUCAAAUGCUUCUCCAAGAGAAGCAUUGAUUGCAUUGGAAACAGUGAAGGCUACAACAUGCUUAAAGGACCACUCUAGGCACCCAGACCACUUCAGCUUAAUGAAGUGGUCUGGGUGCCAGGUUCCUCUAGGAUUAACCCUUUUUUUUUUAUAAACAUAGCAGUUUCAGAGAAACUGCUGUGUUUAUGUUAGGGUUAAUCCAGCCUCCAAAGCCUCUAGUGGCUGUCUCAUUGACAGCCGCUAGAGGUGUUUGCGUGCUUCUCACUGUGAAAAUCACAGUGAGAAGAUGCCAGUGUCCAUAGGAAAGCAUUAUGAAUGCUUUCCUAUGAGACCGGCUGAAUGCGCCCGCAUCUCCUGCCGCGCAUGCGCAUUCAGCCGGAGAGGAGGAGGA